GCCACCCUCGUCAAUAAUGGCCGGUCUCUUAUUUCAUUUAAAUUUCUAACUAACACAUCAAUAUAUUAAUUACACCAUGUUACAUUUUUUGCAGGAAAGGCUGCUUCACAGUUUACAAACUUUUCAAACUUCCUUGAGUAUUGAGAUCUGUGACCUAAGACGCAGACAAGUACUCACUGAAGAAAAUGUUGAUAGACUUAAACUGGAACAGCUUACAUUGCAUAAUCAAUAUGUAAGCACCAUUCAAGAUGUCAAAAACGAAGUUGCUAAAAUUGCAACCACCAAUGAUGAAAUCCCAUAUGUCUUUCGUGCUCCAAGGAAAAAUCCUUGGUUUGGUGGUCGUUUGUCUGAACUACAAGACUUGGCAAAUCUUCUUCCAUUAGAUGAUACCAGUCAACCUAAAGUAAACAUCGCAGCUGUGUGCGGUUUGGGUGGAGUGGGCAAAACAAGUUUGGCUACCGAGUUUGCACAACAGAGGAAGGAUUUCUAUACUGGAGGUGUUUAUUGGUUUUCUGGUGAAGAUGACACUACGUUUGAAAACAGUGUUUACGAUGUUGCUACGCGCUUCAGUACACAGAGUGACUCGUUCGGACUUACCUUUUCAGCAACAUUGGCAAAGAUAUCUCGGAAUAAAAACCCGUGGUUGAUUGUUCUUGAUAACAUGGAUCAAUUAAGCCUUUCAUCCAAUAUUGUUAAGCUGAUAUCUGGACCUUGGCAACAUGAUGCGUCCGGUCACGUUCUAAUUAUCACGAGACGAAAGCCCACUGGUUUAGCCGACGAUAUCAGAGAUUUCGACGAGGAAUGUUGCCUAAGUCUUCAAUGUUUUGGAAUUGAAGAAGGGAAGAAAUUUCUUUUCCGCAGAAUUAGAAUCGUUCACGACGAAGAAAUGGAUGAAGUUGCUGAGAAAUUAGUUCAACAGCUUGGUGGGUUACCUUUAGCUCUUGAGCAAGCCGGAGCUUAUAUCAAAUCACUGCCUUGUACGAUAUCCCAAUACCUAGAGCAUUAUGAUUCGCAGCGCCUUCGUCUUCUUAAUCGACAAAAGGCAGCGUCUGUUUCAGUGUAUGAUUCGCCUGAAAGACUAGCUGUUCGUACAACAUGGCAUCUUAAUUUCGAGCACAUCAAACAGACUGUUGAUGAUGGAAAGGCUGCCAGUAGAUUUCUCUACGCAUCAGCAUUUUUAAAUCCCAAUGAGAUUCAAAAAGAUAUUAUCAACAUUGGCGAACCACCGAUCGAAGAUGAAGAAUUUAGUGAAUGUGUGAAGACAACUUUGGGGCGUCAACUCGUCUUCAUACUGUUAACAGAUUUUUCACUUUUUAAGGAAACUCUAUUUUCCAGCCUUAGCGUCCACCACCUAGUACAGGAGGUCAUACUGGAAAAUCUUAAUCCAGAAGAGGAACUUCAAUCCAUUAAUGAUGCCAUUCGUAUGUUACAUUAUGCUUUCCAAAAUUGUUCCUCUCCUGACGAACUUCUUUCAAAUGAAGCGGAGGAACGACCGUCUAUUAUUUGUGGCAAUCAGUCGCGUUUUUACAACUGGCAUAAACUAUGUUUACAUACUUACGAUCUGGUAAGACAUUUGAAGAGAAUGUUCAAACAGUCUAACGUCGAUUGCGUGAAGAUAUUUCAACCUGAAACAGCUAGAAUAGUGUACGAAUGUGCUGUUCAUUUGAGUGCUAACUCCAAGCACGAUGAAGCAAAAGAAGUAGUCAAUUUUGCCAUUGGUAUCUUUAAUUUAAGCAAUCAGCAAGUUCCUGCAAGCUCCCUUUUUCCUCACACUAUGCCUCUACCCGAGUUAUUUCGCAGGCAAAUACAGUAUUCAUGCAACACACCAGCAAGUACCAUGAAAGAUGAUUCUAGAGACGGUGUGGAAAUGCCAAUCCCUUCAGUUUCCUCUGAACAGUUGGAAGAAAUGCGAAUGAAAGGAAAUGAUUUGUUUAAAAAUGGGUUUUACAAUGAUGCAUUAAAAAUCUAUUCUGACGUCAUUGACAUAUCAAAGAAUACAGCUUUCUUUGAUGUUAGGUUGUUAAGUAAUCGAGCAUCGGUAUAUCUUAAGCUUGGGCAAUAUGAUGAAGCCUUGCAAGAUGCAGAAGAAUACAUUUUACAAUGCCCAAAAUGUUGGAGAGGUUAUGCGAAAAAGGCACUGGCUCUUGUUGAGUUGAAGAAUAUGCAGGAUGCGUGUGUUGCAGCUUCGAUAGCAUAUUACUACGAGAGGAAUUUAUUCCAUAAUUUUGAACCUUUUAGGAUAAUAUUUGGCUCUUCAAUGGAGAAGCGUCUGUUUGUUUGCCGCGAUACCUUAAGUUUGUCAAAUGCCUUGAGGACGAUAAGAACUUUGAAUCACUG
Non-coding RNA from Paramuricea clavata, 2337 nucleotides. The record is from the annotation of a GenBank genome assembly. Lineage: Eukaryota; Metazoa; Cnidaria; Anthozoa; Malacalcyonacea; Plexauridae.